CGGCACCGGGUUCCACCUUGAUCCUUAGGGAUGAGCCAGCCCCGCGAUGGGCGCAGCAUCACCUUCCCCGUCUCGCAGCGGCAGGGAGGGAGAAGUGAUCAAACCGCGGGCAGGAUGGGAUGGAGACGCAAUUCCCGACGGCGCACACAUCACCCCCGGGAAAGAGAAGGAGAAGAAUCUGGACACUGAUAGAGUGAGGAAAUCAGGUGUAAUAAUUCCUUCUCGUACAUCUGGUGGCAGCACUGACACCACCCUGAGCCCAGCACUCCCAUGAAACCACGUCCCUGGCAAGUUUCUCCACAUCUCAGUGCUUUCCAUGCCUUUGCUGCUCUUUUCUCCUUCUCUGUUUUGUUUUCAAAGAGAGAAGGCCAGAGCCAGGAUAACAGGAGCUCCAGCCUUUAAAACCUUAGUUUCCCCCUCCAAAAAAGAGGAUAAUGACUGUGUUAAACAC
Long non-coding RNA from Myiozetetes cayanensis, 451 nucleotides. RefSeq lists it as uncharacterized. The transcript is spliced from 3 exons. Lineage: Eukaryota; Metazoa; Chordata; Aves; Passeriformes; Tyrannidae. The record is from RefSeq and is a predicted model, not a curated record.